Molecule: ribosomal RNA, 391 nt
Filed under: Nitrosomonas marina
Lineage: Bacteria; Pseudomonadati; Pseudomonadota; Betaproteobacteria; Nitrosomonadales; Nitrosomonadaceae
Description: bacterial SSU rRNA
Rfam family: Bacterial small subunit ribosomal RNA
Source: RNAcentral
GGAGAAAAGCAGGGGAUCGCAAGGCCUUGCGCUUUUGGAGUGGCCGAUGCCUGAUUAGCUAGUUGGUGGGGUAAGGGCCUACCAAGGCGACGAUCAGUAGUUGGUCUGAGAGGACGACCAGCCACACUGGGACUGAGACACGGCCCAGACUCCUACGGGAGGCAGCAGUGGGGAAUUUUGGACAAUGGGCGCAAGCCUGAUCCAGCAAUGCCGCGUGAGUGAAGAAGGCCUUCGGGUUGUAAAGCUCUUUCAGUUGAGAAGAAAAGGUUGUGGUAAAUAAUCACAAUUCAUGACGGUAUCGACAGAAGAAGCACCGGCUAACUACGUGCCAGCAGCCGCGGUAAUACGUAGGGUGCAAGCGUUAAUCGGAAUUACUGGGCGUAAAGGGUGC